Molecule: non-coding RNA, 864 nt
Organism: Paramuricea clavata
Lineage: Eukaryota; Metazoa; Cnidaria; Anthozoa; Malacalcyonacea; Plexauridae
Source: the annotation of a GenBank genome assembly
UAAGGCCCGGUUUAGACGGCGAACUUUUCAUGCGCCGAAUCUAAUUGUCGUAGAUACGGCAAAAUAUCGGAAGCUGAUUUAGACGUCGAACUUAAUUGUACGGUUUGUACCGUACCAAAUUGCGAGGACACUAUAUUGGACAUAUUUACAAUGCAAAUAUAUGAUAAUCAUGUUAUGAUGUUAAAAAAUAAUUAUGCAUUAGGUUCGGCGCAUGAAAAGCACGGCGUCUAAAUCAAUGUCGAACCUGUGUCGCAUAUACGACUUGUCUUGUCGCAUCUUCGAGUCAUGUCGAACUUAAUCAAAACCUGUCGAACUUAAUUGAUUUAGACGCCGCUCCAGCGUCGCACUUAAUUCUUGCAUUAGAUUCGGCGCAUGAGAAGUUCGCCGUCUAAACCGGGCCUUAGUCUAGACUAGUAAUUUCAUUUAAUAAUAACAAGAAUAUAUAACAUUUUCAGCAAACUCAUUAUACACAUUUGUUGACAAAGAAUAUAAGUUAUGACAUGAUUUUUUCGGUAAACCGCAAUUGAUAUCCAAUGGAAAAUCGAUAUCCAAUGGAUUUGAUGUCUACCGAGCGUACGUUUUUGUCCCAUAAACAAGACUUUACAAAAUAUAUAAACUGUUCUAUUAUUUGACUGUGGCACUGGCACUUUCUACGUCAGCUAUAAAUCCUAUAAUUUAUUACGUUACAAGUAUGACGAGCCGCACGGGUUUAAACAGGAUUAACUUUUAGGUGUUGCUUAACGCAGCAUUAAUAGGAAAAGUGUGAAAGGUGUUGACAUUUGUUUCCAAUUAAUAGCCUGGAUUAUUUUCCCUUGCAUGUAAUUUAAUGCCAAGUAAUGAGAUGUAGUUUAAUCAUUGAAAAAU